GGUCUAUAAUUAGUCUUAAUUACAGAUGUUAUGUUAGAAAAAGAAUCUGUACGGUUCUAAUGCUAUGGUUAUAUAUAUGUAUCAUUGUUAUAGAUGAAAGACAGAUUGAAUAAAACAGAAAAUAUUCUUUCAUGGUAUCAUAGCACAAAACUCUGAUACCCGACAAACACAAAGCAAAGGCAACGGUGCACAACCAUGGCAGAUGCACCAGAAAAGAAUAAU
Molecule: long non-coding RNA, 222 nt
Filed under: Phaseolus vulgaris (common bean)
Lineage: Eukaryota; Viridiplantae; Streptophyta; Magnoliopsida; Fabales; Fabaceae
Description: long non-coding RNA (PVUL_LNC004701)
Source: RNAcentral